This 497-nucleotide ribosomal RNA is filed under the name uncultured bacterium. RNAcentral describes it as "partial 16S ribosomal RNA". It matches the Rfam family "Bacterial small subunit ribosomal RNA", at positions 28 to 507 of the family's 1533-position model. The record is from RNAcentral.
GAUGAACGCUGGCGGCGUGCCUAAUACAUGCAAGUCGAGCGAACAGACGAGGAGCUUGCUCCUCUGACGUUAGCGGCGGACGGGUGAGUAACACGUGGAUAACCUACCUAUAAGACUGGGAUAACUUCGGGAAACCGGAGCUAAUACCGGAUAAUAUAUUGAACCGCAUGGUUCAAUAGUGAAAGACGGUGUUGCUGUCACUUAUAGAGGGAUCCGCGCCGCAUUAGCUAGUUGGUAAGGUAACGGCUUACCAAGGCAACGAUGCGUAGCCGACCUGAGAGGGUGAUCGGCCACACUGGAACUGAGACACGGUCCAGACUCCUACGGGAGGCAGCAGUAGGGAAUCUUCCGCAAUGGGCGAAAGCCUGACGGAGCAACGCCGCGUGAGUGAUGAAGGUCUUCGGAUCGUAAAACUCUGUUAUUAGGGAAGAACAAAUGUGUAAGUAACUAUGCACGUCUUGACGGUACCUAAUCAGAAAGCCACGGCUAACUACGUG